AGGAGUUUAUCGUGUACGCAAGUCAUUGGGUAAUUAAAAACUCAAAGGCGAAAUAAAAGUAAAGAGUUGAGUUUAUGAUAAAGAAUUUAUUUCUUUUUCAUUUCUCUCUUAAGGGAAGAUGAAAAUUUAAUUAAUAAUAUAUUUUUAAUAUUUUAUUAAUAUAAAUUUUUCGCACUCCCAGGGCGCUUGUUUCACGCUUUGCGUGUCAAUGCGCACCUAGAGCGUACACGCUGAUACCCGAAAGAUGGUGAACUAUGCCUGGCCAGGACGAAGCCAGGGGAAACCCUGGUGGAGGUCCGCAGCGAUUCUGACGUGCAAAUCGAUCGUCGGAGCUGGGUAUAGGGGCGAAAGACCAAUCGAACCAUCUAGUAGCUGGUUCCCUCUGAAGUUUCCCUCAGGAUAGCUUGCGCUCGGUUGAGAAGAGUCUCAUCCGGUAGAGCGAAUGAUUAGAGGCAUUGGGGUCGAAACGACCUCAACCUAUUCUCAAACUCCAAAUAGAUGAGAACCCCUGGCUUUCUUAAAAUUGAAGCCGUGGGAAUAGGAUCAGAGUGCCAAGUGGGCCAAUUUUGGUAAG
RNAcentral lists this ribosomal RNA (574 nucleotides) under Harpagocoris sp. 00004624. Its description in RNAcentral is "eukaryotic LSU rRNA". It matches the Rfam family "Eukaryotic large subunit ribosomal RNA", at positions 669 to 1144 of the family's 3401-position model. Lineage: Eukaryota; Metazoa; Arthropoda; Insecta; Hemiptera; Reduviidae. The record is from RNAcentral.